Molecule: ribosomal RNA, 390 nt
Filed under: uncultured bacterium
Lineage: Bacteria
Description: bacterial SSU rRNA
Rfam family: Bacterial small subunit ribosomal RNA
Source: RNAcentral
AACGAACGCUGGCGGCGCGCUUAACACAUGCAAGUCGAACGAGAAGGCGUAGCAAUACGCUUGUACAGUGGCGAACGGGUGAGUAAUACGUGGGCGACCUACCCUCGAGUGGGGAAUAACCCGCCGAAAGGCGGGCUAAUGCCGCGUACGCUUCCAUCUUUAUGGAGGUGGAAGGAAAGCCGUGCCGUGGGCACGGCGCUCAAGGAUGGGCUCACGUCCUAUCAGCUUGUUGGAGGGUAACGGCCUACCAAGGCUCCGACGGGUAGCUGGUCUGAGAGGACGAUCAGCCACACUGGCACUGCGACACGGGCCAGACUCCUACGGGAGGCAGCAGUGAGGAAUAUUGCGCAAUGGGGCGAAAGCCUGACGCAGCGACGCCGCGUGGGGGGA